UACGGCGAAGCUACCAUCUGCUGGAUUACGGCUGAACGCCUCUAAGCCGGAAUCCAUGCUGGAUAAGCAGUGUUGUACACCGUGCUCAAUGCUACAAGAAAAAGGCUAGGUCAGGCUUCGGCCUGACCAAAAUUCAAGCUGCUAUACCUCUGGCUGCAUUGACUUGUGGUCAGAGUGUAUGGUGAUCAUAGCAAUUGCAAGUAUUGGGCUCGAUAAAUCCUUUGAAGACGACUUAAUUGCAUCCGGGUAUUGUAAGUGUUGAGAGUAGGCUUAGUCUUACGAUCCACUGAGAUUCAUCCCGUGUUGCGCCGAUUUGU
This 317-nucleotide non-coding RNA is filed under the name Perkinsus marinus ATCC 50983. Its description in RNAcentral is "Eukaryotic large subunit ribosomal RNA". It matches the Rfam family "Eukaryotic large subunit ribosomal RNA", at positions 3089 to 3401 of the family's 3401-position model. The record is from Rfam by way of RNAcentral. Lineage: Eukaryota; Perkinsozoa; Perkinsida; Perkinsidae.